GGCUUUAGCCAAAAAGUAUUAAAGGUCUCGCCUGCCCAGUGAAACAUUUUUAAACGGCCGCGGUAUCCUAACCGUGCAAAGGUAGCGUAAUCACUUGUCUUCUAAAUAAAGACUUGUAUGAACGGCUAAAUGAGGACAAACCUGUCUCUUACAGCCAAUCAGUGAAACUGAUCCUCCAGUACAAAAGCUGGAAUAAACACAUAAGACGAGAAGACCCUGUGGAGCUUUAAACGAACGCUAAUACACACAUAAGUUGUCCCUUAGCCUUUAGUUUUAAGUUGGGGCGACUUCGGAACAAAACAAAACUUCCGAGCACAGAACCACCACUUCUCAUUAAGGCCAACAAGCCAAAAUACAAGCCGACCCAGUCACACUGAUCAACGAACCAAGUUACCCCAGGGAUAACAGCGCCAUCUUCUUCGAGAGUCCUUAUCGACAAGAAGGUUUACGACCUCGAUGUUGGAUCAGGACACCCAAAUGGUGUAGCCGCUAUUAAAGGUUCGUUUGUUCAACGAUUAACAGUC
This 524-nucleotide ribosomal RNA is filed under the name Tiliqua adelaidensis. RNAcentral describes it as "partial 16S ribosomal RNA". It matches the Rfam family "Bacterial large subunit ribosomal RNA", at positions 1818 to 2595 of the family's 2925-position model. Lineage: Eukaryota; Metazoa; Chordata; Lepidosauria; Squamata; Scincidae. The record is from RNAcentral.